Molecule: ribosomal RNA, 483 nt
Filed under: uncultured bacterium
Lineage: Bacteria
Description: partial 16S ribosomal RNA
Rfam family: Bacterial small subunit ribosomal RNA
Source: RNAcentral
GACGAACGCUGGCGGCGUGCUUAACACAUGCAAGUCGAACGAUGAAGCCGGAGCUUGCUCCGGUGGAUUAGUGGCGAACGGGUGAGUAACACGUGAGCAAUCUGCCCUUGACUCUGGGAUAACUGCGGGAAACUGUAGCUAAUACCGGAUACGACACCUUGGGGCAUCCCAGGGCGUGGAAAGAAUUUCGGUCAAGGAUGAGCUCGCGGCCUAUCAGCUAGUCGGUGAGGUAAUGGCUCACCAAGGCGACGACGGGUAGCCGGCCUGAGAGGGUGACCGGCCACACUGGAACUGAGACACGGUCCAGACUCCUACGGGAGGCAGCAGUGGGGAAUAUUGCACAAUGGGCGAAAGCCUGAUGCAGCAACGCCGCGUGAGGGAUGAAGGCCUUCGGGUUGUAAACCUCUUUUAGCAGGGAAGAAGCGAAAGUGACGGUACCUGCAGAAAAAGCACCGGCUAACUACGUGCCAGCAGCCGCCGUAA